UCAGCGGCUGGAGCGGCUACUGGAGCAGGAGGAGUAACUGCUUCUGGUGUUGGAGCCGGUGGAGAGCUCACCGGAGCGGAAGCCUUGGGUGAAGGAGACGGUGGAGAGCUCUCGGGAACUGGUGUCGGCGGUGGAGAGGAUACUACAGGAGCCGGAGACUUAGGUGCUUCCACGGGUGAAGAAGCAGGCGUUUUAGCCAUGGGAGAGGAAGGAGUAGCGGCGGGAGGGUUGGCAGGGGAAGUAGUUGGAGCAGAAGGAGCGGCGGGAGAGCUAGUUGGAGAGGAGGCAGGAGAC
This 294-nucleotide long non-coding RNA is filed under the name Brassica rapa (field mustard). RNAcentral's name for it is "long non-coding RNA (BRAP_LNC002379)". The record is from RNAcentral. Lineage: Eukaryota; Viridiplantae; Streptophyta; Magnoliopsida; Brassicales; Brassicaceae.